RNAcentral lists this unclassified non-coding RNA (614 nucleotides) under Hevea brasiliensis (rubber tree). Lineage: Eukaryota; Viridiplantae; Streptophyta; Magnoliopsida; Malpighiales; Euphorbiaceae. The record is from RNAcentral.
GCCAGCAUAUCCCAACCCACGCGCCGCCCUAAUCCGCCGCUUAAUUGCAGCUCUUAUUGUCGUCACCGUCCUAUUCUUAACCAUUCUCUUCAUAUGCUGGCUCGUCAUCCAGCCCCACCGCCCCGAAUUUCAUGUAACGUCUUUUUCUGUCUCCAACUUGAACGUAUCCACAUCCUCGCAGAGACUGACAGGCAACUGGAACGCCCGCUUCCAGGUUUAUAACCCGAACAAGAAACUGAAAAUCUCCUACGAUGAAAUUAUGUCCUCGAUUCUUUACAAAUCGGAGAUUUUAUCACAGACACGAAUCCCACCCUUCAAACAGGACACCAAGAAUCAUACUACCAUGGAUGCAGAGUUCUCGGUGGUGGAUUCUUACGUGGACGAGCGGGUGGUGAAUGGUAUCAACGGGGACAGGGCAAACGGUGCUGUGGGUUUCGAGGUGCGGGUGGUGGCUGAUGUUGGAUUUAAGGUAGGUGGGUUCAGAGCGCGGCGGCGUUUGCUAAGAGUUUGGUGCGACAAUGUGUCCAUUGGACUUACGGCUAAUGGUAGAUCGGGGAACUUGACUGGGGGAGCAAGGAAAUGCAAGGUUUUUGCGUGAGUAAAAUUUGGAGCCG